This 49-nucleotide non-coding RNA is filed under the name Bradyrhizobium sp. RNAcentral describes it as "Guanidine-II sequence". It matches the Rfam family "Guanidine-II riboswitch aptamer (mini-ykkC)". From Rfam's summary of the family: Simpler in structure and has fewer highly conserved nucleotide positions than the ykkC-yxkD leader. Despite this each of its two stem-loop structures directly bind free guanidine. The record is from RNAcentral. RNAcentral also lists the same sequence under 1 other name. Lineage: Bacteria; Pseudomonadati; Pseudomonadota; Alphaproteobacteria; Hyphomicrobiales; Nitrobacteraceae.
UGGGAAGGACGACCUUCCAUUCAUGACAUCAUCCGCGGGGACGACCCUG